GGGGAUGACGGCCUUCGGGUUGUAAACCUCUUUNAGCAGGGAAGAAGCGAGAGUGACGGUACCUGCAGAAGAAGCGCCGGCUAACUACGUGCCAGCAGCCGCGGUAAUACGUAGGGCGCAAGCGUUGUCCGGAAUUAUUGGGCGUAAAGAGCUCGUAGGCGGCUUGUCGCGUCGGUUGUGAAAGCCCGGGGCUUAACCCCGGGUCUGCAGUCGAUACGGGCAGGCUAGAGUUCGGUAGGGGAGAUCGGAAUUCCUGGUGUAGCGGUGAAAUGCGCAGAUAUCAGGAGGAACACCGGUGGCGAAGGCGGAUCUCUGGGCCGAUACUGACGCUGAGGAGCGAAAGCGUGGGGAGCGAACAGGAUUAGAUACCCUGGUAGUCCAAGGG
This 385-nucleotide ribosomal RNA is filed under the name uncultured bacterium. Its description in RNAcentral is "bacterial SSU rRNA". It matches the Rfam family "Bacterial small subunit ribosomal RNA", at positions 404 to 801 of the family's 1533-position model. The record is from RNAcentral.